UAGACCUGAGGUCAGGGAAGACCACCCGGUGAACUUAAGCAUAUCAAUAAGCGGAGGAAAAGAACUAAC
This 69-nucleotide ribosomal RNA is filed under the name Asterochloris glomerata. RNAcentral describes it as "partial 28S ribosomal RNA". It matches the Rfam family "Eukaryotic large subunit ribosomal RNA", at positions 1 to 69 of the family's 3401-position model. The record is from RNAcentral. Lineage: Eukaryota; Viridiplantae; Chlorophyta; Trebouxiophyceae; Trebouxiales; Trebouxiaceae.